UUCCCGCUGGCUCCCGCGGAAGCAGUGGGCAGCCUACUGUGCGUGAUAUCGUGCGAUGGGCUACUAGUAUAAUAACAAAAAAAGGGUAAUAUGCAAAUUA
Long non-coding RNA from Myotis davidii, 100 nucleotides. RefSeq lists it as uncharacterized. The record is from RefSeq and is a predicted model, not a curated record. Lineage: Eukaryota; Metazoa; Chordata; Mammalia; Chiroptera; Vespertilionidae. The transcript is spliced from 3 exons.